AGAUUUUGAUGCGCUCCAUUUACUUCGGAGUUGCUUGUUUGGUUUCUCUAAAGUGGCGUUGCUUGACAUUUCAGUUCGAUUCAUGGAGUUCUUAACCAAGUAUUUGAAUACACAAGUUGGGUUUAGCUUACUCUAAAGGUCCAACUUUGCUUCAGAACGGUAAUUGAUUAAUUUAAGUGUUUGCAUUUAUUUUUUUGGUUAUAAAUUGGUAAUUAUGAUUCUGUAGUUUCUGGGAUUCUACAAUUUUUACAUAAGAUUCUAAAUUGGGAAUGUUAGAAUGUUGUACAUAAACAAAUGAGCUUUAUAAUCACAGUCAAAUGGUAGAGCGUGCAGUAAAAAAUGACAUCACCGAUAACUUUGCCGCCAUAUCCAGUGGCUUCAGCAGAAAAGCCAUAGCAUUCUGCUCCUCUAUUGUAUGAAGUUUGUUGAGACACAAAUUCUCGCAUACUUUGAACAAGUAUGUUUAAAGUACUCCCACCUUAUAGAAGCAUUAGAAAACUUUUCCACGAAGAUUAGGCAUAUAUUUUAAAUUUCUUUCUGUUUUUGUUGUGGCAAUUAAUUUUAGAGAUAAGCCUAUCAAUCAUUUAUUGUGUUUGCUCUUGGAUCUCCAGUCUCUUUUAUCUUUCGUAAACCAACUCUUUUUUUGUGCUUCCGGUAAUGAAUACACCUUACAUGCAUCAAAUAUAAAACAUAUUGUCAAUUUUUUACCAAUGCGAUAACUUUUUACAUAUGGUAUGAGCCUUUUAGCUUUUUUGUUAUGUCAUUAGACAAAAAAUAUUAGUAAUCAAUCCUCAAUUGGAGUUAUUCGACUUAUCUUGAAUUAUGUGUGAGUUUAGGAUGUACCAAUUUCAGGUGCAACAAGCAUUAGUUGCUGGCGUUCUUUUCCUUUUUUUAUAUAAAAAGUAGCUAAAAAGUGUUGAAUGGCAAAGGUUUAGUUGAGCAUGUUAUAUCUAACUUUAUUUUGCUUAUCUGAUGAUAUAUAUUUGAUCAACAAGACUUCUAGACAUAUGGUUCAGUUUUUACCUUCUUUAUUGGUUGUAGCAUUUUUGUGAAUUCCUUUUUUGAACAAAAGAUAAGGGCAUGAGGCCACUUCUUUUCAAUUAAUUUUGUGUUAGUUAAACUAAAUGUGAACAGUAAUCCUAAGUUUGAGUUGUUGGAUAAUUUUUUGAUUUGGCUUACAUGUAAGUUCUUUUAGGAGAGAGUUAUUUUGGUGAAGUGACGUUUAAACAAACAAUUGAGGUUAUUUAAAGAAGGGGCAAAAUUUGGGGUUCCAAAUGGAUUCUUUAAAAGCUAUAUUGCAAGAUACUAAGGCUGACAUUUCAUUAUUCAAUGCGAUAACUUUUAAUGCAAGGAUAUGUGUUUCUUUCAAUCUUCGGAUGUUUGAAUGCUUUCACGUGAUAUUUUUUAUAAUCUUGAGUGUUUGAGUUAAUAAUAUAAAUAUGUGAGAUAAUAAAGCCAAUGUGUUAAUUAGUUAAGCUCAUUUUGUAACAAUGACGUGAGGUGACUUAUGUAAAAUUUAAUAUGAAUGUUGUUAUGUUUUAGGCACACUAAUAGAUCAACUAAUUGAUAACAUCGCACGUCAAGUUGCUUGAGAUUCUAUGGAUUGCUUGGGAGAAGAGCAUCAAGAUUAGAAUUACACAGGAACUUAUGCUACUUACCCAAAAAAAAUAUAUAUCACACAAUGCUAUUUUCGAGCCAAUUUGGUAUUAGUAUUUAAACAGUUUGUUUCUCUUGUUUUGCAUUCCUAUAUUGUACUAGCACUCUACUCUAAUCUUAUUCUUCUUUUGAUGGUUUGAAUGGAUUUUACCAGUCUUCAAUUAUGAUCGAAGCAGUUCCCUGUUCAAGAUGAUAUUUAGUUUUUCACCAUUUUGUAAUAGCGGUCUUUUUUGUAAAGGAACUUCCCUGCUUGGUUUCUGGGUGGAAAAGGUUAUAUGCUUAAACACGAUUACAUAAGGAAGAGGACUUUAAGCCUAGCUUUCCUCAAACAAUAUACAGCCACCCAAUUCUUAUAAAUCUAAGAUCAUGAAGGACUUCAUUUACAUUAGCUCUGUACAACCUUAUCAUUCCUAAAUUAGACAUGUAUUCUUGUUUGUUUUCAAAAUUGGUAUAUCCUUUUUGUUGUUUACGCCCUGGAAGAUGAGAAUUGCAAGUAAUUUAUCCAUCCUUAACUAUCCUUUAGCCUAUUCAGGUAGCUCCCUCCAGCUAUGUAUAAAUACCUCAUUUAGUACUGGUUCUCAGGGAGGUAGGAAGUUGACAAACUUUUCUUUCUUUUAUAUUCAUUAAUCUCAGGAGCACAGUGGCCAUGGUAAAAGAAAUUCAAAUGGCCAAUUGAAAUCAUA
This is a non-coding RNA of Nicotiana tabacum (common tobacco), 2339 nucleotides long. The record is from RefSeq and is a predicted model, not a curated record. Lineage: Eukaryota; Viridiplantae; Streptophyta; Magnoliopsida; Solanales; Solanaceae.